GGAAAUGUGCCCGAAAUAGGACCUCCUUGAUAGGGAAGACAAUAGGAGUUUAAGCCUCCUCAUUUCCU
Molecule: transfer RNA, 68 nt
Filed under: Ceuthomantis smaragdinus
Lineage: Eukaryota; Metazoa; Chordata; Amphibia; Anura; Craugastoridae
Description: tRNA-Ile
Source: RNAcentral